CAGUAGCCACGGUAAUACGUAGGGGGCGAGCGUUGUCCGAAGUUACUGGGCGUAAAGAGCGCGUAGGCUGGUCUUUAAGUGAGUGGUGAAAGGUUCGGGCUCAACCCGGACACUGCCUUUCAUACUGGGGACCUUGAGUGUGGGAGAGGCGAGUGGAAUGGUCGGUGUAGCGGUGAAAUGCGUAGAUAUCGAUCGGAACACCCAUGGCGAAGGCAGCUCGCUGGCCUAACACUGACGCUGAGGCGCGAAAGCGUGGGGAGCAAACAGGAUUAGAUACCCCCGUAGUCCCUGUCUCUUAUAA
RNAcentral lists this ribosomal RNA (301 nucleotides) under uncultured bacterium. Its description in RNAcentral is "partial 16S ribosomal RNA". It matches the Rfam family "Bacterial small subunit ribosomal RNA", at positions 509 to 809 of the family's 1533-position model. The record is from RNAcentral.